UUUGAUUUCAGGUUAGUUCCGUAGUUUCUAGUCAAGUGUCAAGAUUCUUUAAUUAUUGAAUCAUCAGUUGAUCAGAUUAAGUUCCUACACUUAUUUUAUCAGCCGUAUCUGUUUGUGAGUUACACAGCUCCAGGUUACACUUCUUUGUCUAUAUAAUUAAAUUCAGUUUUCAGUUUUUAAAUAAUACAGUUUUCGGUUUGAAAAUAAAAUUGUUCGAGAUCCGUUAAAUGUCAUUGUGAUUUUUUUCAAGUGUAAAUCAGUGAACCAAAUAAAGACAAUUGCACCAAAACUCUCACAAUCACAUCCUCAGUGUCUCGACCCUGUGCGAGUGAACAGGUAAGUUGUGAUUGCCCAAGUUUCUGGUUUACGAGUACAUUCUGCACUCGGGCUAUUCGAACCUCUUGACUGCAGCUCGACAUACGAAUGCCUCCAGACCAUAUUACUCUCAACACGCCAGGAUGUUACGAAUAAUUUGUUCAGUCUCAGUGUCCCAGUAGGUGUUACAUCCACGAUUAAAUGUAUAAAUAAACGGUGCGUCUGCAAAGUUCAGAUGUCUUCGGGGUUUUACACGUUGUUCCCUCCCCUGAGGUGCUAUGGGACCAACUUAUUCCCCAAGUGUACUGCGUUUCUACAGGGAUCGAGGGAAACCAGGGGAACCCCCUACCGUACAGCCCGCCGAUAGUGCAGAGUCCGGCUGUACCGUUCCCUCAUAUUGACUGGAAGGACACACAGCGUGAGCGUCAGGUACUUCACAGCGGUCACCCAUCCAAGUACUAACCUAGCGAAUCGCUGCUUAGCCUCGAUAUCCACCGGAGUAACCCUUCACUUUUUGUUAUGUAAAGUUUGUUUAUUCGUGAAUUAAGUGAUGGGUAUUUUUUAGGUAUAAACGACUUCGGAACAAAGAACUUUAUUUUAACUUGAACUUGUGAUAGAGAAAUGUGUUCAGCGUUGGUUGGUCUUCCUUAAUUUUUAUAAUUUUUUAAACAAAAAGAAAAUAUACUUUUUUUUUGUAUUAGGUGAGCUGCUCUGGAGUUUGUUGUUUUACGUUGGAUCUGGGUUUAUCAAUCUGAUGUGUUUGGCUGCUAUUGCUAGGGAAAAACGGAGCCUCUAAUGGUUACUAUAAUGAAAAGAAAAACACUAAACUAUAUGUAGAGAUGGAAUAGUUAUAAUGAUUUAAACAUGUGAAUGUUAUUUUAUUUAUUUCUUGUUUAUUUUAUAAACUAAAAAGACUAAAGGGCCUCGUGCACCUCUAUUUAGACUCAAGGAAACAGAGCACACACAUUAUAGCCCCAACUUCUCGAAAUUUUCACCCAUAAAAAUGUUUUCCAAUCUCAAGUGUAAACACGAGAAUAAACGAAGUACAAAUGUUACAUAGACCUAUUCAA
Diachasmimorpha longicaudata is the source of this 1385-nucleotide long non-coding RNA. RefSeq lists it as uncharacterized. The transcript is spliced from 2 exons. The record is from RefSeq and is a predicted model, not a curated record. Lineage: Eukaryota; Metazoa; Arthropoda; Insecta; Hymenoptera; Braconidae.